This 406-nucleotide ribosomal RNA is filed under the name Neobacillus ginsengisoli. RNAcentral's name for it is "bacterial SSU rRNA". It matches the Rfam family "Bacterial small subunit ribosomal RNA", at positions 449 to 853 of the family's 1533-position model. Lineage: Bacteria; Bacillati; Bacillota; Bacilli; Caryophanales; Bacillaceae. The record is from RNAcentral.
GAGAGUAACUGCUCGUACCUUGACGGUACCUAACCAGAAAGCCACGGCUAACUACGUGCCAGCAGCCGCGGUAAUACGUAGGUGGCAAGCGUUAUCCGGAAUUAUUGGGCGUAAAGCGCGCGCAGGCGGUUUCUUAAGUCUGAUGUGAAAGCCCACGGCUCAACCGUGGAGGGUCAUUGGAAACUGGGGAACUUGAGUGCAGAAGAGAAAAGCGGAAUUCCACGUGUAGCGGUGAAAUGCGUAGAGAUGUGGAGGAACACCAGUGGCGAAGGCGGCUUUUUGGUCUGUAACUGACGCUGAGGCGCGAAAGCGUGGGGAGCAAACAGGAUUAGAUACCCUGGUAGUCCACGCCGUAAACAAAUGAGGGCUAAGUGUUAGAGGGUUUCCGCCCUUUAGUGCUGCAGCU